Long non-coding RNA from Physella acuta, 1100 nucleotides. RefSeq lists it as uncharacterized. NCBI's taxonomy places the organism in Eukaryota, Metazoa, Mollusca, Gastropoda, Physidae. The record is from RefSeq and is a predicted model, not a curated record.
CAUGAGCAGAAGACGCCGCGCCUAUUUGUCAGCGUUUUAUUUCUCCACAUAUUUCGGCCGCGAUCUAACAACUAAAAUGCCGGCUGGAGACGACUUUAAGGCGGCCACCAACACUGUCAAAACGUGUUUUAUUCUUUCCAUAGUUGGCAUCAUCUUCAGCUUGACAUCAGUAUUUGCCAGCUACUGGUACGUUUUGUCUGAAUUUCACUAUGGAUUGUGGUCAAUGUGCGUGGGAAGCCAUUGCAACACCUUCGAUUUUCCUCAAACGAACUGGCUUGGGAUAAUCCAGUUUCUGGCUGUGGUUGGCACAGUGCUGAUCCUCGUUGGUCUUAUCAUGCUCAGCCUCUACAUCUUCGGCAGCAAGAAAGGAAGCAUGGAAACGCUCGCCCAGUGCUGUUACGUGUUUUUCGUCGCAGCUCUCUUGUGGGGCGCUUGUCUGUUCGUCUACGAUUGUAGAGAACACAGAGGUAACGGCUUUGCCUACUGGCUGGGAGUGUUGGCGGGCAUUUUGGCCUUUGUCAUCUCGCUGCUUCUGCACCUGCAGCAGAGAGGUUGCAUGGACUGUUAAUGUGUAACACGCAAGUUAACACAUUCAUAGUCCUACCAUCAUCAGAUUUGAUUUGAUGCUUCUUGUUACUCUGGUACCUUGUGGGGAAUGGAGAAAGUCAGCGAUGGAAUGUAUGAAUGACAAUACACAAGUUUGACUCUGGGUUAUUUAAUUUUAAGAGCCUUUUAUUCUUUAACCUGAACCAUCUUUGAAGAUAAGAGUAUGUAGUUGAAAAAAAAUUUGGCGUGAAAAGUGUUCCUUAGGUUUGUCGUUGUUUAUUUUAAAUUCUUAUCAUCUUAUUUUGUAAAAAAAAAAAAAAAAGUGCAUGGUUAUGAGAAAAUGCAGGCUUUUAAAAAAAAUAUUCUGAUGUAUAGAAAACUAUAUUUUGCAGCGUAGGUUGAUGUUUAUUUGGUCACGUGAUCACAGUAUGAAUGCACUUAGGAUUUUUUUUUUUCAUGCGGGCUAUCAGAUACAACCCACAAUUUAACCAGAGUAAAAUAUUAACAAAACAUUUGUUGUAAUGUUUAGGUCGCUAUACAGGCAGUGAAAUAUU